RNAcentral lists this transfer RNA (73 nucleotides) under bacterium. RNAcentral describes it as "tRNA-Val". It matches the Rfam family "tRNA". From Rfam's summary of the family: Transfer RNA (tRNA) molecules are approximately 80 nucleotides in length. RNAcentral also lists the same sequence under 1 other name. The record is from RNAcentral.
GCGCGGUUAGCUCAAUUGGUAGAGCGCCACAUUGACGUUGUGGAUGUUGUAGGUUCAAGUCCUACACCGCGCA